UACGUAGGUGGCAAGCGUUGUUCGGAAUUAUUGGGCGUAAAGGGCGCGUAGGCGGUCUUGUAAGUCAGCUGUGAAAGUCAAAGGCUCAACCUUUGAAAGCCGGUGGAUACUGUGAGGCUAGAGUACGGAAGAGGCGAGUGGAAUUCCUGGUGUAGCGGUGGAAUGCGCAGAUAUCAGGAGGAACACCAAUAGCGAAGGCAGCUCGCUGGGACGUUACUGACACUGAGGCGCGAAAGCGUGGGGAGCGAACAGG
RNAcentral lists this ribosomal RNA (253 nucleotides) under uncultured prokaryote. RNAcentral's name for it is "partial 16S ribosomal RNA". It matches the Rfam family "Bacterial small subunit ribosomal RNA", at positions 524 to 776 of the family's 1533-position model. The record is from RNAcentral.